This 29-nucleotide non-coding RNA is filed under the name Mus musculus (house mouse). Lineage: Eukaryota; Metazoa; Chordata; Mammalia; Rodentia; Muridae. The record is from RNAcentral.
UGGCCAAAAUAGACUGCACGGGCAGCACC